GCGGGUGUCGUAUAGUGGCUCAUUAUGUCAGCCUUCCAAGCUGAAGAGGAGGGUUCGAUUCCCUUCACCCGCUCCA
RNAcentral lists this transfer RNA (76 nucleotides) under Patescibacteria group bacterium. RNAcentral's name for it is "tRNA-Gly". It matches the Rfam family "tRNA". From Rfam's summary of the family: Transfer RNA (tRNA) molecules are approximately 80 nucleotides in length. Their secondary structure includes four short double-helical elements and three loops (D, anti-codon, and T loops). Further hydrogen bonds mediate the characteristic L-shaped molecular structure. tRNAs have two regions of fundamental functional importance: the anti-codon, which is responsible for specific mRNA codon recognition, and the 3' end, to which the tRNAs corresponding amino acid is attached (by aminoacyl-tRNA synthetases). tRNAs cope with the degeneracy of the genetic code in two manners: having more than one tRNA (with a specific anti-codon) for a particular amino acid; and 'wobble' base-pairing, i.e. permitting non-standard base-pairing at the 3rd anti-codon position. RNAcentral also lists the same sequence under 1 other name. The record is from RNAcentral.